Poecilia latipinna (sailfin molly) is the source of this 1535-nucleotide long non-coding RNA. RefSeq lists it as uncharacterized. Lineage: Eukaryota; Metazoa; Chordata; Actinopteri; Cyprinodontiformes; Poeciliidae. The record is from RefSeq and is a predicted model, not a curated record. The transcript is spliced from 2 exons.
UGAAAUGUGCUAUACAAAGAAAUUUGAUUUGAUUUAUAAGAUUUAAUGUGAUGUGCUUUGCUGCGACAUCAAGUGUCAAUAAUUGGAACUAAUGUAAAUAAAUGUAAAAAGUAUAAAACAUAAAAUUGCCUGACGUGUAGCCUUUUGAAUGGUUUGUUCUGUUUUUCAGAUGAAGGGGAUGAUGGAACGAGCAGGGAACAGCCAUCUGCUGACUCUCUUGUCGUACCCAAACGCAGGUCACUUGAUCGAACCGCCAUACAUGCCUCAUGCCAGAGUGAGUCUCUUCAGAGAAAUACAGUCACGUCAGAAGCUGAUGGUUCUUUGGGGAGGACAGACCCUGGAACAUUCUCGGGCUCAGGAGGACGCCUGGAGGAAACUGUUGGUCUUUCUGAGGAAGAAUCUGUAUAGCGGUGUGAAGAGCGGAUCUUCGUCACUUUCCAACCUUUAACAAAUGACCAGCGUUUGUUGAAUUGAACAGUUGAAGUACAUAUUUUCUCCUCUGGCAAAUAAUGGAAAUUAUUUUAGGAGCUAAAUAGAUGCUCAAGUGAAAAAACUUUUGAUUGUUGAUUAUGAAUGAACCGGUUUUAUACAACUUGGAUCCAUUAGUCAAAAUUUUGUUUUACAUAAUACAUACUGUAAAAUAAGAGUUUUAAUAAAAAUAAAGAACAAAUCAAGCCUCCUUUUAGGCGAGCUCAUAUCGUGGCAGUGAUAGCAGCACUUAGAGUGUCAGCUGCCAUAACCUGCCCCGGCAGCGGCUGAACCUGCCACAGCUUCUGUGUAGCAAACAACUGAAUGAUUUUAUUUUGAACAAAAAUAAAUAAAUAAAUAAAAGGCUACAACGUAAUACAGCCACCCAACACUGAUUCGGUGACAUAUACCACAGCUUCUGUGUCAGGAAGCUGUGGUAUAUGUCACCAUAUACCAGGGGAAAAAAAAUAACCGAUGGAGCAGGCUGCUAUAGGGAAAAAAUGUUCUUUUGCAACAGACAUUUUCCAUAUUCAUUUCUACUUCAAUAUGAUAAUGACCCUGAGGAGGGCUGAUGCCUGAAUGCUACAAUUUCUCCCUAUUGGUUGGUUAGCAUCGAGUUAUAACAGCCUCACAAUAUCAAAGUAUCUUGGCAUACUGAGGUUAAUUAAAACUAGGUUAAGUGUAUGAAGAAACUUAACCUGCAGACCCGUUGGAACCUAAAGAACCAGAAAUCAGUGUCUCUUCAUCCUCAAUCAUCUCCUGCGGCUGAUAUGGUGCAAAACAUUUUGCUAUGAUUGAUUAAGUUUUUUAAUGUCAUUUUAGUUGACUGUUGUGGUUUGAUCAUUUGCUUAAGAUGUUGAGUUUGGAUGAUAUUUAAUAAAUAAUGAAAAUGGAAAAGUCACAACAUACCGAGCCUCCAUGCAGUUAUAACAUGAAGUUGGAUGAUUUUUAUAAUACUCAUAAAAUUCACAAUAAAAUUGAUAAAAUAACCAUUUCUAAAACCAACAUAAGUUUGUUUUGAACAAAGAUAAUUGGCAUUUUGAAGCAAACUUACCAGCUAACUGGUG